AUCUAGUUGACGAGUCCCAAAUAGGAUGAAAUGAACAUCCUGGCUUGAU
RNAcentral lists this non-coding RNA (49 nucleotides) under Trichobilharzia regenti. Lineage: Eukaryota; Metazoa; Platyhelminthes; Trematoda; Strigeidida; Schistosomatidae. The record is from RNAcentral.